This is a long non-coding RNA of Brachypodium distachyon (stiff brome), 776 nucleotides long. RefSeq lists it as uncharacterized. NCBI's taxonomy places the organism in Eukaryota, Viridiplantae, Streptophyta, Magnoliopsida, Poales, Poaceae. The record is from RefSeq and is a predicted model, not a curated record. The transcript is spliced from 2 exons.
GAUCCGGAGCCGCGCACUCGGCCGCCAGCGCCAUCACGCGCUCCACGGCCGCGACCGCCGCGCUGGUCCUGCGCAUCCGGGUGUCCAUCGCCACCACCACGUCGCCAUCCCUGCACUUCCGCAGUGCCUGCAGCCACACGAGGUAUGCAUGUACAUGAUGGAUGAAUCAAGGAAGGUGAACUUACUGGAACUACUAGACACAUCACGAGCAUCGUUUGAGGGGGUUUCAUGGACCUCCCCGAUUCUGGAACGCCGAGGAGCGAAGCAGUUUGUGCACGCUUCUACAGUCGUAGCAGCUGCAUCCCAUAAUGAUCUAGUGCUCCUGGUCUUCUUGCCAGCCAUACUGGAACGAGCUUUAUUGGUGGAUAUCCUGGAGAAUCCAGGAUCUACCUGAAACUUGUGGUUGGAGCCAGAGAGGUCUCCUCCAUGGCCGGUGCUGAACGCCCGAUGGGUGCUGCCUCCAUAGCCGAUGGGGUUAGAAGAUGGCGUUGAAAACUGCUCUCACAUGUACCAUGUUCGUCUGGUUCUUUCCUUGGGCUUUAGUAGACGUGACACAUUAUAUGGACUGAUUCAGCUUGACCUGGUGCUCGCUUCUUAAUAAUUAUGAAAGGAAUGUUUAUUUUGGGCUUCAGGUCAAGCCAGUGGAGUCGGGAGUAUACGCGUGUAUGACAAUUGACAACUAACCGUCGACAGUAUUUAAUAGUAUGGGUGAAGGAUUCAGUGUCGGAGUGUUCAGAUUCUCGGCCGAAGAGGACUGGACCAGGUUACAUCAUAUU